This 497-nucleotide ribosomal RNA is filed under the name uncultured bacterium. RNAcentral's name for it is "partial 16S ribosomal RNA". It matches the Rfam family "Bacterial small subunit ribosomal RNA", at positions 28 to 507 of the family's 1533-position model. The record is from RNAcentral.
GACGAACGCUGGCGGCGUGCCUAAUACAUACAAGUUGAGCGCUGAAGGUUGGUACUUGUACCAACUGGAUGAGCAGCGAACGGGUGAGUAACGCGUGGGGAAUCUGCCUUUGAGCGGGGGACAACAUUUGGAAACGAAUGCUAAUACCGCAUAAAAACUUUAAACACAAGUUUUAAGUUUGAAAGAUGCAAUUGCAUCAUUCAAAGAUGAUCCCGCGUUGUAUUAGCUAGUUGGUGAGGUAAAGGCUCACCAAGGCGAUGAUACAUAGCCGACCUGAGAGGGUGAUCGGCCACAUUGGGACUGAGACACGGCCCAAACUCCUACGGGAGGCAGCAGUAGGGAAUCUUCGGCAAUGGACGAAAGUCUGACCGAGCAACGCCGCGUGAGUGAAGAAGGUUGUCGGAUCGUAAAACUCUGUUGGUAGAGAAGAACGUUGGUGAGAGUGGAAAGCUCAUCAAGUGACGGUAACUACCCAGAAAGGGACGGCUAACUACGUG